UCUCCGUUGGUGAACCUGCGGAAGGAUCAUUAUAGGAUUUUGAAACUUCAGGCUGCUGCUGGCUCUCCUCGGAGGGCAUGUGCACGCUUGUUGUCCAUUAUUUCUCCCACUGUGCACAAAUUGUAGACCUUUCAGUAGGCCUAUGUUGUUUUUCACAAUCUCUGAAUGUAAUAGAAUGGUUUUGAAUCUUGGGAAAUACAAUACAACUUUCAGCAACGGAUCUCUUGGCUCUC
Molecule: unclassified non-coding RNA, 233 nt
Filed under: plant metagenome
Description: partial contains small subunit ribosomal RNA, internal transcribed spacer 1, and 5.8S ribosomal RNA
Source: RNAcentral